CGAGGAAACCUCAUUGGGCGAGGUUAAAGUGGCUUUUAAGAUACAUUGCUGGGACAUUAGAUGUGGGAUUGGUGUUUGAAAGAAGAUCUGAAGAGUCAUUUUAAAGGAGUAUGUAGACUCCGACUUUGCUGGUGAUAAAGAUCAAAGAAAGUCUACUACUGCCUAUUUCUUCACACUAGGUGAUAAUUGCAUCACAUGGAAGUCACAACUUCAAUCUAUUGUCACAUUAUCAAGCACAGAGGCUGAAUAUGUGGCAAUAAUCGAAUCUGUAAAAGAAUGCAUUUGGUUAAAAGGAAUUUUGGGUGAGUUGAAUUUUUUCAAGUGUCACCCGUUAUUUUCACCGAUAGUCAAAGUGCUUUACUUUUAUGUAAAAAUCCAAUUUAUCAUGAGAGAUCUAAAUACAUUGAGGUGAAGUACCAUUUCAUACUUGAAAAAGUUGCUUGUGGUGAUGUUAUACUUGGAAAAAAUUCACACCGACGUGAGCCCUUCUGAUAUAGGAACCAAAAUUCUAAAUGUAGGUAAAUUUAAGGCUUGUUUAUCUUUAGUACAUAUUGAUACGGGUUAAUUUCUUUUGCAGGUACUAAGGACGAUGAUGUAGGGCAAAAACAUAACCGUCACAUGCAUUGUAGCAACUAGAGAGAACUAGGGGUUUGUGAAAACAAGGUGAAGAUUGUGAAAUGUUUUUCAAAACCUAUUACUCACGUUUUUAAAAGUGGCAAAAAUCAUUUUCUUCAUUUGUUGGCCACAUGGCAACUUUCCAUUGGCAACUUAUAUUUCACAAGGAUGUGUGUUUAUUUGAAAACAUUAUGGGUCAUUGAUCAAAAUGGAGGGUG
This 833-nucleotide long non-coding RNA is filed under the name Olea europaea subsp. europaea. Lineage: Eukaryota; Viridiplantae; Streptophyta; Magnoliopsida; Lamiales; Oleaceae. The record is from RNAcentral.